This 421-nucleotide long non-coding RNA is filed under the name Rattus norvegicus (Norway rat). Its description in RNAcentral is "long non-coding RNA NONRATT012085". Lineage: Eukaryota; Metazoa; Chordata; Mammalia; Rodentia; Muridae. The record is from RNAcentral.
GCUCCUGCUGGAGAAUGACGCCAGCCCCAACCUGGCUACCACUGCUGGCCACACACCUCUGCACACCGCAGCCCGUGAGGGUCACGUGGACACAGCCCUGGCCCUGCUGGAAAAGGAGGCAUCCCAAGCCUGCAUGACCAAGGAUUUACCCCUCUCCACGUGGCUGCCAAGUAUGGGAAGGUCCGGCUGGCAGAGCUGCUGCUGGAACAUGAUGCCCAUCCCAACGCGGCCGGAAAGAACGGCUUGACUCCCCUGCAUGUGGCCGUCCAUCACAACAACUUGGACAUUGUCCAGCUUCUCCUUCCCCGAGGUGGCUCCCCGCACAGCCCUGCCUGGGUAAGAAGAUCCCUACCUGCUUCUGUCUAGAGAGAUGGUUUUCAAGCCUCCUAAUGCUGAGACCCUUUAAUGCACGUCGUGUGUU